This 490-nucleotide ribosomal RNA is filed under the name uncultured bacterium. Its description in RNAcentral is "partial 16S ribosomal RNA". It matches the Rfam family "Bacterial small subunit ribosomal RNA", at positions 30 to 507 of the family's 1533-position model. The record is from RNAcentral.
AUUGAACGCUGGCGGCAGGCCUAACACAUGCAAGUCGAACGGUAACAGGAAGAAGCUUGCUUCUUUGCUGACGAGUGGCGGACGGGUGAGUAAUGUCUGGGAAACUGCCUGAUGGAGGGGGAUAACUACUGGAAACGGUAGCUAAUACCGCAUAACGUCGCAAGACCAAAGAGGGGGACCUUCGGGCCUCUUGCCAUCGGAUGUGCCCAGAUGGGAUUAGCUAGUAGGUGGGGUAACGGCUCACCUAGGCGACGAUCCCUAGCUGGUCUGAGAGGAUGACCAGCCACACUGGAACUGAGACACGGUCCAGACUCCUACGGGAGGCAGCAGUGGGGAAUAUUGCACAAUGGGCGCAAGCCUGAUGCAGCCAUGCCGCGUGUAUGAAGAAGGCCUUCGGGUUGUAAAGUACUUUCAGCGGGGAGGAAGGGAGUAAAGUUAAUACCUUUGCUCAUUGACGCUACCCGCAGAAGAAGCACCGGCUAACCCCGUG